This 73-nucleotide transfer RNA is filed under the name Balaenoptera musculus (blue whale). Its description in RNAcentral is "tRNA-Phe". The record is from RNAcentral. Lineage: Eukaryota; Metazoa; Chordata; Mammalia; Artiodactyla; Balaenopteridae.
GUUAAUGUAGCUUAAGCACUCAUAAAGCAAGACACUGAAAAUGUCUAGAUGGGUUAAAUUAACCCCAUUGGCA